AUUUUAGUGUAUGUGGCAUAUGAAAUUUUGAUUUUCAAGGAUUUAGUUAAAUUCUAAGGAGUAUAA
RNAcentral lists this transfer RNA (66 nucleotides) under Tuxedo flavicollis. RNAcentral's name for it is "tRNA-Gln". The record is from RNAcentral. Lineage: Eukaryota; Metazoa; Arthropoda; Insecta; Hemiptera; Miridae.